GACGAACGCUGGCGGCGUGCCUAAUACAUGCAAGUCGAACGAACCGCGACUAAGUGCUUGCACUCAGUCAAGGUGAGUGGCGAACGGGUGAGUAACACGUGGGUAACCUACCUCAUAGUGGGGGAUAACAGUCGGAAACGACUGCUAAUACCGCAUAGGACAUAGGAUCACAUGAUCCAGUGAGGAAAGGUGGCGCAAGCUAUCGCUAAGAGAUGGACCCGCGGUGCAUUAGCUAGUUGGUAGGGUAAAGGCCUACCAAGGCGAUGAUGCAUAGCCGACCUGAGAGGGUGAUCGGCCACAUUGGGACUGAGACACGGCCCAAACUCCUACGGGAGGCAGCAGUAGGGAAUCUUCCGCAAUGGACGCAAGUCUGACGGAGCAACGCCGCGUGAGUGAAGAAGGUCUUCGGAUCGUAAAGCUCUGUUGUUAGAGAAGAACAGCGCAUAGGGUAACUGCUAUGCGUGUGACGGUAUCUAACCAGAAAGCCACGGCUAACUACGUG
This 502-nucleotide ribosomal RNA is filed under the name uncultured bacterium. RNAcentral describes it as "partial 16S ribosomal RNA". It matches the Rfam family "Bacterial small subunit ribosomal RNA", at positions 28 to 507 of the family's 1533-position model. The record is from RNAcentral.